Molecule: long non-coding RNA, 335 nt
Filed under: Coffea arabica (coffee)
Lineage: Eukaryota; Viridiplantae; Streptophyta; Magnoliopsida; Gentianales; Rubiaceae
Description: long non-coding RNA (CARA_LNC006846)
Source: RNAcentral
UUGGGAUUUCCAGCGUUUGCGCUUGAAGAAAAAAAACUGAUAUUCAAAGGGAAAAAGAUGGCUUUACAGUGCUCUUGCUCGGUGAAAAUCCGCAGGCGAUGACAGUGGAUUCCGGUGAGGUGGUGGCGGCUUCUUGCGAGCGGCGGCGGUUCCGGUGGCUCUUCUGAUGAACCCGCCUCGUUCUUCUAAUGUUCCUUCACUUCCCCUCUGUUUUUUUUCUUUCUUUUUCUUUCUUUUUCUUUCCCGGAUUCUCCCUCCUUCCCUCUGUUUUUUUUCUUUUUUCAGCUCUGAAGCUCCUUUCCAAAUUUCCCAGGUUCCCCCUUUUCUUCCCCUGU